AUUGAACGCUGGCGGCAUGCUUUACACAUGCAAGUCGAACGGCAGCGCGGGCUUCGGCCUGGCGGCGAGUGGCGAACGGGUGAGUAAUGCAUCGGAACGUGCCCAGUAGUGGGGGAUAGCCCGGCGAAAGCCGGAUUAAUACCGCAUACGACCUGAGGGUGAAAGCGGGGGACCGAAAGGCCUCGCGUUAUUGGAGCGGCCGAUGUCGGAUUAGCUAGUUGGUGGGGUAAAGGCUUACCAAGGCGACGAUCCGUAGCUGGUCUGAGAGGACGACCAGCCACACUGGGACUGAGACACGGCCCAGACUCCUACGGGAGGCAGCAGUGGGGAAUUUUGGACAAUGGGGGCAACCCUGAUCCAGCCAUGCCGCGUGCGGGAAGAAGGCCUUCGGGUUGUAAACCGCUUUUGUUCGGGAAGAAAUCCUCUGGGCUAAUACCCCGGGGGGAUGACGGUACCGGAAGAAUAAGCACCGGCUAACUACGUG
Molecule: ribosomal RNA, 484 nt
Filed under: uncultured bacterium
Lineage: Bacteria
Description: partial 16S ribosomal RNA
Rfam family: Bacterial small subunit ribosomal RNA
Source: RNAcentral